Non-coding RNA from Acanthosepion pharaonis, 113 nucleotides. Lineage: Eukaryota; Metazoa; Mollusca; Cephalopoda; Sepiida; Sepiidae. The record is from the annotation of a GenBank genome assembly.
UAUGACCAUAUCACAUUGAAACAUCAGUUCCCAUAUGAUCACUGUAGUUAAGCAAUGUCGAGCCCAAUCAGUACCUUGAUGGGUGACUGCUUGGAAAUAUCAAGUGCUGUAAG